AUUGCUUCUUGGCCUUUUGGCUAAGAUCAAGUAUAGAAUCAUCCAUUCAGCCAUGACCUGAGUUUUUCCAUUUGGAUAUUUGACUAAACAACUCCAGUCAGCAAGCAGGUCUGAACCAUAUUCAUUUUCUUGCUUCUGAAAUCAGUUGCUGAAAAUGACAUUUGAAUCCUAA
This 172-nucleotide small nuclear RNA is filed under the name Mustela putorius furo (domestic ferret). RNAcentral's name for it is "U2 spliceosomal RNA". It matches the Rfam family "U2 spliceosomal RNA". From Rfam's summary of the family: U2 is a small nuclear RNA (snRNA) component of the spliceosome (involved in pre-mRNA splicing). The record is from Rfam by way of RNAcentral. Lineage: Eukaryota; Metazoa; Chordata; Mammalia; Carnivora; Mustelidae.